RNAcentral lists this unclassified non-coding RNA (341 nucleotides) under soil metagenome. RNAcentral's name for it is "partial contains 5.8S ribosomal RNA, internal transcribed spacer 2, and large subunit ribosomal RNA". The stretch from base 1 to 120 matches the Rfam family "5.8S ribosomal RNA", at positions 35 to 154 of the family's 154-position model. The record is from RNAcentral.
GAUGAAGAACGCAGCGAAAUGCGAUAAGUAGUGUGAAUUGCAGAAUUCAGUGAAUCAUCGAAUCUUUGAACGCACAUUGCGCCCCUUGGUAUCCCGAGGGGCAUGCCUGUUCGAGCGUCAUUUGUACCCUCAAGCUUUGCUUGGUGUUGGGCGUCUUGUCUCUAGCUUUGCUGGAGACUCGCCUUAAAGUAAUUGGCAGCCGGCCUACUGGUUUCGGAGCGCAGCACAAGUCGCACUCUCUAUCAGCAAAGGUCUAGCAUCCAUUAAGCCUUUUUUUCAACUUUUGACCUCGGAUCAGGUAGGGAUACCCGCUGAACUUAAGCAUAUCAAUAAGCGGAGGA